Non-coding RNA from Misgurnus anguillicaudatus (oriental weatherfish), 798 nucleotides. NCBI's taxonomy places the organism in Eukaryota, Metazoa, Chordata, Actinopteri, Cypriniformes, Cobitidae. The record is from RefSeq and is a predicted model, not a curated record.
UAGAGAACGGUCAACCUUAAAACACUCUGCUGAGGACAGUGCAGUGCAGGACAGGUAGGGGAGGAAACAUCUUAAACCUUAUUAAGCAUUAGAAAAAAAAACACUUGUGUAAACGCUACCUGCGAAUUCGUUCAUAAUUGUGAUAAUUAAAUCAUGUGUUUUAUUAGAGAUGCAGGGACAUAUUUUAUGCGUCGUGUAAAUUGACACGAAAAGUUUUGGAAACGAAUCGCUUAACAACGCGUUAUUUACAAUGUAAUACUGAAAUACCUUUAAACGUCCAAAAUUAUUUUUUAAAAUCAAACAUCAAACAAACGUAGCAUAGAUAAUUAUUUUCAAAACAAGCCCACAACUGUGCCCUUAAGGCAAUUUUUCACCACAGACCCGUUUAAUCCUACAGAAAAAUCCAGUUAAAACCAGCAUAAACUGGUAGCUGGUUUAAGCUGGUUUUAGCUGGUUUAAGGUGGCAGUAGCUGGUCCUAGCCUGGCAAAUCUUGCAAAACUAGCUUAAACCCAAUUUUUCAGUAGAGAAGAGUAGUAGCUUUCACUAAAGAGUUGUCAAUACCAAAUGCCUGUUGCAGUAGAUGUCGUCUGAAAGUCUUAAGUGUCACAUUUUGCCAUUCAUCCACUUAUACAGUAUACUGAAGAAUGAUAGUUGAGCUCAUUUGGUUUGUGCUUUAAUUUAAAGCUUCAUUUGACAAUUCAAAACUUCAGGAGCAGCUGGACAAUAACAUGCAGCUGGACAAUAAGAGGUUCCUCCUACAUGUCCUGAUCUCCACCCCUCUAACCAGCUGCUGCUUC